RNAcentral lists this ribosomal RNA (449 nucleotides) under uncultured bacterium. RNAcentral's name for it is "bacterial SSU rRNA". It matches the Rfam family "Bacterial small subunit ribosomal RNA", at positions 29 to 524 of the family's 1533-position model. The record is from RNAcentral.
AACGAACGCUGGCGGCAGGCCUAACACAUGCAAGUCGAGCGAGAUUUUCGGAUCUAGCGGCGGACGGGUUAGUAACGCGUGGGAAUAUGCCCAAUGGUAGGGAAUAGCCUCUGGAAACGGAGAGUAAUACCCUAUGAGCCCUUCGGGGGAAAGAUUUAUCGCCAUUGGAUUAGCCCGCGUUGGAUUAGGUAGUUGGUGGGGUAAUGGCCUACCAAGCCGACGAUCCAUAGCUGGUUUGAGAGGAUGAUCAGCAACACUGGGACUGAGACACGGCCCAGACUCCUACGGGAGGCAGCAGUGGGAAUCUUCGGCAAUGGGCGCAAGCCUGACCGAGCCAUGCCGCGUGAGUGAAGAAGGCCUUAGGGUCGUAAAGCUCUUUCGCCAGGGAUGAUAAUGACAGUACCUGGUAAAGAAACCCCGGCUAACUCCGUGCCAGCCGCCGCGGUAAU